GGAUGGGUGACAGAGCGGUCGAUUGUGCACGCCUGGAAAGCGUGUGUGCCGCAAGGCACCAGGGGUUCGAAUCCCCUCCCAUCCGCCC
RNAcentral lists this transfer RNA (88 nucleotides) under Verrucomicrobiota bacterium. Its description in RNAcentral is "Verrucomicrobia bacterium tRNA-Ser". It matches the Rfam family "tRNA". From Rfam's summary of the family: Transfer RNA (tRNA) molecules are approximately 80 nucleotides in length. The record is from RNAcentral. Lineage: Bacteria; Pseudomonadati; Verrucomicrobiota.